Molecule: ribosomal RNA, 2925 nt
Filed under: Escherichia coli O25b:H4
Lineage: Bacteria; Pseudomonadati; Pseudomonadota; Gammaproteobacteria; Enterobacterales; Enterobacteriaceae
Description: 23S ribosomal RNA
Rfam family: Bacterial large subunit ribosomal RNA
Source: RNAcentral
GGGUUGUGAGGUUAAGCGACUAAGCGUACACGGUGGAUGCCCUGGCAGUCAGAGGCGAUGAAGGACGUGCUAAUCUGCGAUAAGCGUCGGUGAGGUGAUAUGAACCGUUAUAACCGGCGAUUUCCGAAUGGGGAAACCCAGUGUGUUUCGACACACUAUCAUUAACUGAAUCCAUAGGUUAAUGAGGCGAACCGGGGGAACUGAAACAUCUAAGUACCCCGAGGAAAAGAAAUCAACCGAGAUUCCCCCAGUAGCGGCGAGCGAACGGGGAGGAGCCCAGAGCCUGAAUCAGUGUGUGUGUUAGUGGAAGCGUCUGGAAAGGCGCGCGAUACAGGGUGACAGCCCCGUACACAAAAAUGCACAUAUUGUGAGCUCGAUGAGUAGGGCGGGACACGUGGUAUCCUGUCUGAAUAUGGGGGGACCAUCCUCCAAGGCUAAAUAUUCCUGACUGACCGAUAGUGAACCAGUACCGUGAGGGAAAGGCGAAAAGAACCCCGGCGAGGGGAGUGAAAAAGAACCUGAAACCGUGUACGUACAAGCAGUGGGAGCCUCUUAAUGGGGUGACUGCGUACCUUUUGUAUAAUGGGUCAGCGACUUAUAUUCUGUAGCAAGGUUAACCGAAUAGGGGAGCCGAAGGGAAACCGAGUCUUAACUGGGCGUUAAGUUGCAGGGUAUAGACCCGAAACCCGGUGAUCUAGCCAUGGGCAGGUUGAAGGUUGGGUAACACUAACUGGAGGACCGAACCGACUAAUGUUGAAAAAUUAGCGGAUGACUUGUGGCUGGGGGUGAAAGGCCAAUCAAACCGGGAGAUAGCUGGUUCUCCCCGAAAGCUAUUUAGGUAGCGCCUCGUGAAUUCAUCUCCGGGGGUAGAGCACUGUUUCGGCAAGGGGGUCAUCCCGACUUACCAACCCGAUGCAAACUGCGAAUACCGGAGAAUGUUAUCACGGGAGACACACGGCGGGUGCUAACGUCCGUCGUGAAGAGGGAAACAACCCAGACCGCCAGCUAAGGUCCCAAAGUCAUGGUUAAGUGGGAAACGAUGUGGGAAGGCCCAGACAGCCAGGAUGUUGGCUUAGAAGCAGCCAUCAUUUAAAGAAAGCGUAAUAGCUCACUGGUCGAGUCGGCCUGCGCGGAAGAUGUAACGGGGCUAAACCAUGCACCGAAGCUGCGGCAGCGACACUAUGUGUUGUUGGGUAGGGGAGCGUUCUGUAAGCCUGUGAAGGUGGCCUGUGAGGGUUGCUGGAGGUAUCAGAAGUGCGAAUGCUGACAUAAGUAACGAUAAAGCGGGUGAAAAGCCCGCUCGCCGGAAGACCAAGGGUUCCUGUCCAACGUUAAUCGGGGCAGGGUGAGUCGACCCCUAAGGCGAGGCCGAAAGGCGUAGUCGAUGGGAAACAGGUUAAUAUUCCUGUACUUGGUGUUACUGCGAAGGGGGGACGGAGAAGGCUAUGUUGGCCGGGCGACGGUUGUCCCGGUUUAAGCGUGUAGGCUGGUUUUCCAGGCAAAUCCGGAAAAUCAAGGCUGAGGCGUGAUGACGAGGCACUACGGUGCUGAAGCGACAAAUGCCCUGCUUCCAGGAAAAGCCUCUAAGCAUCAGGUAACAUCAAAUCGUACCCCAAACCGACACAGGUGGUCAGGUAGAGAAUACCAAGGCGCUUGAGAGAACUCGGGUGAAGGAACUAGGCAAAAUGGUGCCGUAACUUCGGGAGAAGGCACGCUGAUAUGUAGGUGAAGCGACUUGCUCGUGGAGCUGAAAUCAGUCGAAGAUACCAGCUGGCUGCAACUGUUUAUUAAAAACACAGCACUGUGCAAACACGAAAGUGGACGUAUACGGUGUGACGCCUGCCCGGUGCCGGAAGGUUAAUUGAUGGGGUUAGCGGUAACGCGAAGCUCUUGAUCGAAGCCCCGGUAAACGGCGGCCGUAACUAUAACGGUCCUAAGGUAGCGAAAUUCCUUGUCGGGUAAGUUCCGACCUGCACGAAUGGCGUAAUGAUGGCCAGGCUGUCUCCACCCGAGACUCAGUGAAAUUGAACUCGCUGUGAAGAUGCAGUGUACCCGCGGCAAGACGGAAAGACCCCGUGAACCUUUACUAUAGCUUGACACUGAACAUUGAGCCUUGAUGUGUAGGAUAGGUGGGAGGCUUUGAAGUGUGGACGCCAGUCUGCAUGGAGCCGACCUUGAAAUACCACCCUUUAAUGUUUGAUGUUCUAACGUGGGCCCCUUACCGGGGUUGCGGACAGUGUCUGGUGGGUAGUUUGACUGGGGCGGUCUCCUCCUAAAGAGUAACGGAGGAGCACGAAGGUUGGCUAAUCCUGGUCGGACAUCAGGAGGUUAGUGCAAUGGCAUAAGCCAGCUUGACUGCGAGCGUGACGGCGCGAGCAGGUGCGAAAGCAGGUCAUAGUGAUCCGGUGGUUCUGAAUGGAAGGGCCAUCGCUCAACGGAUAAAAGGUACUCCGGGGAUAACAGGCUGAUACCGCCCAAGAGUUCAUAUCGACGGCGGUGUUUGGCACCUCGAUGUCGGCUCAUCACAUCCUGGGGCUGAAGUAGGUCCCAAGGGUAUGGCUGUUCGCCAUUUAAAGUGGUACGCGAGCUGGGUUUAGAACGUCGUGAGACAGUUCGGUCCCUAUCUGCCGUGGGCGCUGGAGAACUGAGGGGGGCUGCUCCUAGUACGAGAGGACCGGAGUGGACGCAUCACUGGUGUUCGGGUUGUCAUGCCAAUGGCACUGCCCGGUAGCUAAAUGCGGAAGAGAUAAGUGCUGAAAGCAUCUAAGCACGAAACUUGCCCCGAGAUGAGUUCUCCCUGACUCCUUGAGAGUCCUGAAGGAACGUUGAAGACGACGACGUUGAUAGGCCGGGUGUGUAAGCGCAGCGAUGCGUUGAGCUAACCGGUACUAAUGAACCGUGAGGCUUAACCUUACAACGCCGAAG